Cotesia glomerata is the source of this 352-nucleotide long non-coding RNA. RefSeq lists it as uncharacterized. The transcript has 2 exons. The record is from RefSeq and is a predicted model, not a curated record. NCBI's taxonomy places the organism in Eukaryota, Metazoa, Arthropoda, Insecta, Hymenoptera, Braconidae.
GGGUAUGUUCCGAUAUGCACUGCGACCACUGUACAGUGUGACGUCAAUUUAGUAUACUGUGAAGCCGUUCCUUUAUAGUUAGUUAUACUGGUUACUAUUUAAAACGGAACGCAAUCCCGUAUACUGUCAGCCGCAUUUUUUGACGCAGUAUUCAAAUGAGUUUAUUAAAGUUUUCUAGUUCAUUAAAAAAAACUGUUGUUGGAGUACUAUCAAAUUAAAAAUAUUUUAAUUAAUAUUAAAUGUAAAUUGAAUUUAUAAUAUAAUAAAAGUAAUGGAGUAUCCAGUAAUUGGAAUAGUACUUGUUGGUGCAGUUCGAAAUUUAUUGGAAUCUUCAGACGAAGAUGAUUCUAGC